UACGUAGGGUGCAAGCGUUGUUCGGAUUUACUGGGCGUAAAGGGCGCGCAGGCGGCUCACUUUGUCAGGCGUGAAAGCCCCGGGCUCAACCUGGGAAUUGCGCUUGAAACGGGUGGGCUAGAGAUCGGGAGAGGAGAGUGGAAUUCCCAGUGUAGAGGUGAAAUUCGUAGAUAUUGGGAAGAACACCGGUGGCGAAGGCGGCUCACUGGUCCGGUACUGACGCUGAGGUGCGAAAGCGUGGGGAGCAAACAGG
RNAcentral lists this ribosomal RNA (253 nucleotides) under uncultured bacterium. RNAcentral's name for it is "partial 16S ribosomal RNA". It matches the Rfam family "Bacterial small subunit ribosomal RNA", at positions 524 to 776 of the family's 1533-position model. The record is from RNAcentral.